This 451-nucleotide ribosomal RNA is filed under the name uncultured bacterium. Its description in RNAcentral is "partial 16S ribosomal RNA". It matches the Rfam family "Bacterial small subunit ribosomal RNA", at positions 354 to 796 of the family's 1533-position model. The record is from RNAcentral.
GUGGGGAAUAUUGGACAAUGGGGGGAACCCUGAUCCAGCCAUGCCGCGUGUGUGAAGAAGGCCUUUUGGUUGUAAAGCACUUUAAGCGAGGAGGAGGCUACCGAGAUUAAUACUCUUGGAUAGUGGACGUUACUCGCAGAAUAAGCACCAGCUAACUCUGUGCCAGCAGCCGCGGUAAUACAGAGGGUGCAAGCGUUAAUCGGAUUUACUGGGCGUAAAGCGCGCGUAGGUGGCCAAUUAAGUCAAAUGUGAAAGCCCCGAGCUUAACUUGGGAAUUGCAUUCGAUACUGGUUGGCUAGAGUAUGGGAGAGGAUGGUAGAAUUCCAGGUGUAGCGGUGAAAUGCGUAGAGAUCUGGAGGAAUACCGAUGGCGAAGGCAGCCAUCUGGCCUAAUACUGACACUGAGGUGCGAAAGCAUGGGGAGCAAACAGGAUUAGAAACCCGAGUAGUCC